AGCGAACGCUGGCGGCAGGCUUAACACAUGCAAGUCGAACGGGCGUAGCAAUACGUCAGUGGCAGACGGGUGAGUAACACGUGGGAACGUACCUCUUGGUUCGGAACAACACAGGGAAACUUGUGCUAAUACCGGAUAAGCCCUUACGGGGAAAGAUUUAUCGCCGAGAGAUCGGCCCGCGUCUGAUUAGCUAGUUGGUAGGGUAAUGGCCUACCAAGGCGACGAUCAGUAGCUGGUCUGAGAGGAUGAUCAGCCACAUUGGGACUGAGACUCGGCCCAAACUCCUACGGGAGGCAGCAGAGGGGAAUAUUGGACAAUGGGGUCAACCAUGAUCCAGCCAUGCCGCGUGAGUGAUGAAGGCCCUAGGGUUGUAAAGCUCUUUUGUGCGGGAAGAUAAUGACGGUACCACAAGAAUAAGCCCCGGCUAACUUCGUGCCAGCCGCCGCCGUAA
Molecule: ribosomal RNA, 451 nt
Filed under: uncultured bacterium
Lineage: Bacteria
Description: partial 16S ribosomal RNA
Rfam family: Bacterial small subunit ribosomal RNA
Source: RNAcentral